UUGGAGGGAAUGCAUCCAUUACAGGCUCAAACUUUGUUGACUCAUUGAAACACAGUUCUACCACAUGAUCAGCAAGUUUAUAUUUUUAUACAGGUUUUCGGUUAUAGAAAUUGGUAAUGUCAUACACCUGUCCUUCUUCCAUUUUCUUGGACAUGUAAGGAUAAGCAGAUUCCUCAAUUAAACCGUGAAUAGCAUGUCCCUGCACAAACUUAGAAAUGAAGAAACUUGCCUCUUCGUCGACUAACAGAUAAUGGAGGCCAUCGUAUAU
Molecule: long non-coding RNA, 268 nt
Filed under: Rosa chinensis
Lineage: Eukaryota; Viridiplantae; Streptophyta; Magnoliopsida; Rosales; Rosaceae
Description: sRNA RchiOBHm_Chr5g0062391
Source: RNAcentral